Molecule: unclassified non-coding RNA, 89 nt
Filed under: Pseudomonas mediterranea
Lineage: Bacteria; Pseudomonadati; Pseudomonadota; Gammaproteobacteria; Pseudomonadales; Pseudomonadaceae
Source: RNAcentral
UGUGGGAGCGAGCCUGCUCGCGAUGAGGCCAUGUCAGUCGACAUCUCUGUCACUGACAGACCGCUAUCGCGAGCAGGCUCGCUCCCAUA